Molecule: small RNA, 654 nt
Filed under: Malus domestica (apple)
Lineage: Eukaryota; Viridiplantae; Streptophyta; Magnoliopsida; Rosales; Rosaceae
Description: sRNA MD09G0240800
Source: RNAcentral
AUGAACAAAGAAAUUUCAUCAGUGGCGCACGAGCAGAUCCUCCUGGGGAUGGGCAAUCCUCUUCUCGACAUCUCUGCCGUCGUCGACGAAGAAUUCUUGACAAAGACUUCACCCCGAAUCAAUCUUUUGACCCCCAGCACUCUUGUUUGAAGAGAUUGUAGUCGCGGUCUGUUAUAUGAGGGUUUUGUAAUUUAGAAAUAGCAAGCCUCUCAUGAAUGUAGCUGAAAUGAAGGUUUAACAUAAGUAAGAAAGGAAUCUAAGGUUUAUGCAUUUCUAGGAAGCUAAGUAGUAAAAGAAAGUACCACAAAAUGGUUUUGGUUUAGUGCCAAAAGUUAAUUGCAAGUGCAUAGUCAAAGCAAAAUACCCUGGUCAACCUGUCGAAACCUGUACCUAAUACUGCUUAGCCAAAAUCUGAUUCGGUCAUAGAAUCAUUGCAGUUAAAUAGGAGUAAACAAAACGCAGAGAAGAAUUCACCAUUCCGAAGUUCACACAACAUACUCAUUUACCUUCACGUUUUUUUGGAUGUUGAUUGAUUGUGUACUUUCUUGUAACACAACAGAUUUUCUUGUCAUCCCUGUAUUUGUAUCUGUACACGUAAUUAUAUGAUUAAAUAACAGCUUACAAUAUUUUUCGACGGUAAGAGGUUGGUUGUGA